Ribosomal RNA from Chlorocebus sabaeus (green monkey), 99 nucleotides. The record is from Ensembl. Lineage: Eukaryota; Metazoa; Chordata; Mammalia; Primates; Cercopithecidae.
UCCGCUGCCCACACCACCCUGAACAUGCCAGAUCUCAUCUGAUCUCAGAAGCUAAGCAGAGUCAGGCCUGGUUCGUCCUUGGACAGGAGAGUAAUGGGA